AUUAAUGUUACAAUAUUCUUGUAAUAAUGAUGACAACAAUAACAAUGAUAUUAACAUAAACAACUAUAUUUCCUAUAUAAAAAAAAAAAAAAAAAACAAACUAAUAAUUAAUCCGUAUAAAAAUUACAAAUCUACUAAUUUAAGCUUAAUUGCUUGACUCAAAGUAUCGACCUGAAAUGACCCGACCCAAAGUCGACCCGACCCAAACUUGACCGGACCCGAUCUUGACCCAACCCAAACUUGACCCGAUAUAUGGACUUGAAUUGACCCGACCUGAACUGACCUGACCCGAACUCUCGACCCGACCUAGAGUCGACCCGAAGUAUUGACCCAAUACCCGACCUAACCUGAUAACCUAUUAACCCGAACUUGACCCAAAACCCGAAAUGACCCGACCCGAACAUUUGCUGACCCAAAUUUGACCCGACCCAUACCCGACCCGAAUGACCCGUUUGCAGGUCAUUAUGGAGUAUAUUAUUUGAACUUUUUUUUCUUAGUUAUGACUUUUUACAAUCUUAGCAUAUUGAACAUAGUAGAAUCAUUACCUUGAUAUUUAUAACCAAACUUGUAUACUUCAAAUUUCCUAAAAUAAAGUUAUCUAUCUUUUUUUUUUUUUUUUUUGAGGUAAUCUGAAGUUUAUUUUCUAAACAUGAUUGAUUUGAUUUUAAUUUUGAAAUAAGUAGAAAUAAUGUAAUUAAUUGAUACGGCUUUAAAAAGUUGAAGGUAUCAUGUAGAAUUUUUUUUUUUUAUUUUUUUUUUUAUUUUUUUUUUUGUGGUAUAUAUUUAUAGAUAUUAGAUUAUCAAAGUUAUUGAGCACUUAUUAGUAAUCAAAGUUAUACGCUUUGAUUUAUCAAAUAUGUCAAGUCAAUAAGCUCGAUAAUACGGUACAACUCUAAAAUAUAUUGAAAAAAAAAAAAAUCCACUUGGUAGUUUAAAAGAAUAAAAUUGCAGGUAUUUUAGUGGCUAAUACCAUUAGCUACUAAUAAUCGUCCUAAUAGUAUGACUUAUUAAACCAUAAAUGUCACUUUCGAAAGAUUAGGUGAUGCCCACAAUAUCAAGUCGCGAUUUACUAAUUUCUAAGUAGUCACAUUGCCGUUGACCGACUAAACAACCUUCUUCUUUGCUAGUCAAAUAAUAUCCUACGUAUUAAACAUGCAAGUAAUGCAACUAAUUUUAUACAUCAAUAAAAGAAUGGAAACAUUAUCUAUAUUUAUUACCUUCACGAUUUCUUAUUCCAUUCAGUGGCGGACCUGGGCUUGUGUCUGGUGGGUCAAGUGACUCACCAGGGCCCAAAAAAAAUUUUAAGUUUUUUUUUUUUUUUUUUUUUAAAAAUAAAAAUAAAAAAUUCUAACGUCUGAGUUAGCCCUAGCCCACUUCGCCUCUUCCUCUUCGCAAGUUCGCAUCUUCCUCUUCGCCUCUUCCUCUUCCUCAGACCUCAGUUCCUCUUCGCUAGUUCGCUUCAUCUUCCUCUUCGCAUAAUUUCAGUUUGCUCACGCCUCCAGUGCUGGCUGUGCUACUGGCCUGCUGGCUGCUGCUCGCCUAGUCGCCUGCUCCAGCCUCCAGUGCUCUGUGCAGCUGUGCUCUGUCCUCUGCUGCUCGCCUAGUCGCCUGCUCCAGUGCCUAGUCGCUGACUUGCUGUCUUGCUGAGUGUUGGGCAUGGCCCUGCUGCAGUGCUGCUCCGCUGCUCGCCUCAAUCAUUCAGCGCCUGCCGCCUCCGCCUAGCAAGGUAGGUAAUCAUCAAUUGAUUUUUUUUUUUUUUGUGAAUUUUUUAUCAAAUUUGCAUUACUUGUCUCUUAAAAUUAGUAUAUACGGUGAAUGUUCAUUGAAUUUGCAUUAUUUGUGCAAAUUGUGUUUUGACUGUUAAAUUGAACUUAUUAGUUUAUCUGUUUAUGUCAUUAUGUGAAAUUGUGAAUAUGUGAUGCCGGACAUUGUAUAAGACAGCAAUUAAACUAUUAGUGUAAGGAGGAUUAUAAAUUUAUAAUUAGAUUACAGUUUGGACUGGUUAGUGCUUAGUGGUGCUAGUCGCAUAUUCGGCUGGAAGUUCCGUAUAGACUAGUGGAGAUAUUAGUUUGUUGAUUUUAGUCUUGUCAAUUUUAAGCUUUUUAAUUAUUAGUUAGUAUUGUAAUCUUGUCAAUUUUCUAUUUGGAUGAUCUUUGUAAAUAAUUUUUCUGGGGAAUAUUGCUUGAUUUAGUUGAAUAUUGCUUGAUUUAGUUGAAUAUGAACCGUCCAACCAAUUAUGAAUAGGGGUAAUUCGCUGUUGGGGUUAUUUGCAUAUGAUUCAUACUUGUGAUUUCAUUUGUUUUGUUAACUUUGUGUUUGAUUAGGUUGUUGAAUUUAUAUGCAGGGAAGACUCAACUUAUCAAUCAUUUUCUAAUCAACAAGAGUUGGUAUAUUGUUAAUUUGCCUGGAUAUGGGUGAGUCUCUGUAAUUUUGGUUUUAAUUUGGGCAAUUUCUGUAAUUCUUGAGUCUAUUUCAUGCUGGGAAUAUUGUAUACUUGUAUUGUGAAUCAAUUGUUAUUCGUGUUUAUUCCUGAUCAUAUGCUUGAAUCAUAUUGAAGUGCCAAAAAAGGAUUGCUUUUACGCCUUGAGGCAUUGCUUCAAAAUUAUUGAUCAUCCUGUAAAACAUGUUGCGGACUGAUAUGUAUUUAGGCUACAUCCGUUGUAGUUAAUUUGGUCUCCAAUCGUGUUGUUUAUUUUCAAGUUUAGGAAGUAAAUGUCUCCUUACAUGU
Long non-coding RNA from Chenopodium quinoa (quinoa), 2728 nucleotides. RefSeq lists it as uncharacterized. NCBI's taxonomy places the organism in Eukaryota, Viridiplantae, Streptophyta, Magnoliopsida, Caryophyllales, Amaranthaceae. The transcript has 2 exons. The record is from RefSeq and is a predicted model, not a curated record.